UUGAACGCUGGCGGCAGGCCUAACACAUGCAAGUCGAACGGUAACAGGGAUCAGCUUGCUGAUUCGCUGACGAGUGGCGGACGGGUGAGUAAUGUCUGGGAAACUGCCUGAUGGAGGGGGAUAACUACUGGAAACGGUAGCUAAUACCUCAUAACGUCGCAAGACCAAAGAGGGGGACCUUCGGGCCUCUUGCCAUCGGAUGUGCCCAGAUGGGAUUAGCUAGUAGGUGGGGUAACGGCUCACCUAGGCGACGAUCCCUAGCUGGUCUGAGAGGAUGACCAGCCACACUGGAACUGAGACAGGGGCAAGACUCCUACGGGAGGCAGCAGUGGGGAAUAUUGGAAAAUGGGAGCAAGACUGAUGCAGCCAUGCCGCGUGGAUGAAGAAGGCCUUCGGGUUGUAAAGUACUUUAAGCGGGGAGGAAGGGAGGAAAGUUAAUACCUUUGCUCAGUGAAGUUACCCGCAGAAGAAGCACCGGCUAACUCCGUG
RNAcentral lists this ribosomal RNA (489 nucleotides) under uncultured bacterium. Its description in RNAcentral is "partial 16S ribosomal RNA". It matches the Rfam family "Bacterial small subunit ribosomal RNA", at positions 30 to 507 of the family's 1533-position model. The record is from RNAcentral.